ACUGCAUUCACCAACACAGAUUGCAACCCAUCUGUGACUUAGUGAUUGAGUCAAGGGUAAUUGACUGAGACGCAUAGUUCACUAUCUUUCUCUGGCUUACACAGUUAGUAAGUUGGUGGCAAGAUUUGAAGCCAAGUGUUUCUGACUCCAAGCCUAGUCACCUCUCUAUUAUGCCACCUCCUAGAAGUUAUCUGUGUUACUUUUGUCUUUUUCUAGAAAUAUCAUGGAAUCUCAGUAUAUGAAUGAAACAUAAGAAUGAAAUGAAGGCAAUGGAAAUUCAGAGAACAUUCUCUUUGAUAAAUAACAGAGGGAUAGAAAAAUGGUAUAUAAAAAGGAGAGAAGAGAAUGAAUGUUACCAUCAGAUCAACCCUUUAAACUGGACAACUUGCCCUCAUGGGUGAAGACCCUUGGACACUACAUGGGAGAAGUUUGUUCAGGGAUAGAAGCUUUAGGCUGGAGAGGAUCUCCCCAGGUUUCUUAUCCUGUUUUCUCACCUAAAGAAUUAUAAUGAGAUAGAGUGAAUGAGAUCUAUGGGGAAAGCAGUGGACCUAGAGACUAAAGGAGUAAAAUGGAACCAAAGCCUAAAGUGGUUUUUAAUGUGGAAAAUAUCAAACACAAUAUUCUUAGUGUCAAAACCUGGGCAUAGCAGGUGAGAAAAGAAAAAUAAAUAGAAGAAUAUUACAGUGUUGGUAUUAUUG
Molecule: long non-coding RNA, 698 nt
Filed under: Monodelphis domestica (gray short-tailed opossum)
Lineage: Eukaryota; Metazoa; Chordata; Mammalia; Didelphimorphia; Didelphidae
Description: lncRNA (ENSMODG00000042399.1)
Source: RNAcentral